RNAcentral lists this ribosomal RNA (254 nucleotides) under uncultured bacterium. RNAcentral describes it as "partial 16S ribosomal RNA". It matches the Rfam family "Bacterial small subunit ribosomal RNA", at positions 524 to 776 of the family's 1533-position model. The record is from RNAcentral.
UACGGAGGGUGCAAACGUUGCUCGGAAUCAUUGGGCGUAAAGCGCACGUAGGCGGUCCGGCAAGUCGGGUGUGAAAGCCCUCGGCUUAACCGAGGAAGUGCAUUCGAAACUACCGGACUUGAAUACUGAAGAGGAUCGCGGAAUUCCCGGUGUAGAGGUGAAAAUUCGUAGAUAUCGGGAGGAACACCAGUGGCGAAGGCGGCGAUCUGGGCAGAUAUUGACGCUGAGGUGCGAAAGCGUGGGGAGCAAACAGG